UUUGAGGAAGUAAAAGUCGUAACAAGGUCUCCGUUGGUGAACCAGCGGAGGGAUCAUUACUGAGUUUACGCUCUAUAACCCUUUGUGAACAUACCUAUAACUGUUGCUUCGGCGGGUAGGGUCUCCGCGACCCUCCCGGCCUCCCGCCCCCGGGCGGGUCGGCGCCCGCCGGAGGAUAACCAAACUCUGAUUUAACGACGUUUCUUCUGAGUGGUACAAGCAAAUAAUCAAAACUUUUAACAACGGAUCUCUUGGUUCUGGCAUCGAUGAAGAACGCAGCGAAAUGCGAUAAGUAAUGUGAAUUGCAGAAUUCAGUGAAUCAUCGAAUCUUUGAACGCACAUUGCGCCCGCCAGCAUUCUGGCGGGCAUGCCUGUUCGAGCGUCAUUUCAACCCUCAAGCUCUGCUUGGUGUUGGGGCCCUACAGCUGAUGUAGGCCCUCAAAGGUAGUGGCGGACCCUCCCGGAGCCUCCUUUGCGUAGUAACUUUACGUCUCGCACUGGGAUCCGGAGGGACUCUUGCCGUAAAACCCCCCAANUCCAAAGGUGACCUCGA
Molecule: ribosomal RNA, 553 nt
Filed under: Colletotrichum viniferum
Lineage: Eukaryota; Fungi; Ascomycota; Sordariomycetes; Glomerellales; Glomerellaceae
Description: eukaryotic LSU rRNA
Rfam family: 5.8S ribosomal RNA (bases 232-385)
Source: RNAcentral